UAAUACAGAGGGGGCAAGCGUUGUUCGGAAUUACUGGGCGUAAAGGGCGCGUAGGCGGCCUGCUAAGUCGAACGUGAAAUCCCCGGGCUCAACCCGGGAACUGCGUCCGAUACUGACAGGCUUGAAUCCGGGAGAGGGAUGUGGAAUUCCAGGUGUAGCGGUGAAAUGCGUAGAUAUCUGGAGGAACACCGGUGGCGAAGGCGGCAUCCUGGACCGGCAUUGACGCUGAGGCGCGAAAGCCAGGGGAGCAAACGGGAUUAGAUACCCCGGUAGUCCUGGCCCUAAACGAUGAAUGCUUGGUGUGGCGGGUAUCGAUCCCUGCCGUGCCGAAGCUAACGCAUUAAGCAUUCCGCCUGGGGAGUACGGUCGCAAGGCUG
RNAcentral lists this ribosomal RNA (377 nucleotides) under uncultured bacterium. RNAcentral's name for it is "bacterial SSU rRNA". It matches the Rfam family "Bacterial small subunit ribosomal RNA", at positions 521 to 896 of the family's 1533-position model. The record is from RNAcentral.